GUGCAGCAGGCGCGAAUCUUCCACAAUGGGGAAACCCUGAUGGAGCGACGCCGCGUGCGGGAUGAAGGCCCUAUGGGUUGUAAACCGCUGUUCAGUGGAAAGAACAUCCUCCGGCUGAAUAGGUCGGAGGCCUGACGUUACCACUGCAGAAAGUCCCGGCCAACUCCGUGCCAGCAGCCGCGGUAAUACGGGGGGACGAGCGUUUGUCCGGAAUCAUUGGGGCUAAAAGGGCGCGUAGGCGGCGAGGAAAGUCGAAUGUGAAAUCUUGCGGCUCAAACUGCAAAAACUGCGUUCGAAAACUUCCUCGCUUGAGUAUGAGAGAGGUGUGCGGAAAUUCCUGGUGUAGCCGGUGGAAUGCGUAGAUAUCAGAGGAA
RNAcentral lists this ribosomal RNA (374 nucleotides) under uncultured microorganism. RNAcentral's name for it is "bacterial SSU rRNA". It matches the Rfam family "Bacterial small subunit ribosomal RNA", at positions 346 to 706 of the family's 1533-position model. The record is from RNAcentral.